Molecule: ribosomal RNA, 386 nt
Filed under: uncultured bacterium
Lineage: Bacteria
Description: bacterial SSU rRNA
Rfam family: Bacterial small subunit ribosomal RNA
Source: RNAcentral
GACGAACGCUGGCGGCGUGCUUAACACAUGCAAGUCGAACGAUGAAGCCUUUCGGGGUGGAUUAGUGGCGAACGGGUGAGUAACACGUGGGCAAUCUGCCCUGUACUUUGGGAUAAGCCUUGGAAACGAGGUCUAAUACCGGAUAUGAUGAGUCCUCGCAUGGGGGUUUGUUGAAAGUCCCGGCGGUACAGGAUGAGCCCGCGGCCUAUCAGCUUGUUGGUGGGGUAAGUGGCCUACCAAGGCGACGACGGGUAGCCGGCCUGAGAGGGCGACCGGCCACACUGGGACUGAGACACGGCCCAGACUCCUACGGGAGGCAGCAGUGGGGAAUAUUGCACAAUGGGCGAAAGCCUGAUGCAGCGACGCCGCGUGAGGGAUGACGGCCU